RNAcentral lists this ribosomal RNA (446 nucleotides) under uncultured bacterium. RNAcentral's name for it is "partial 16S ribosomal RNA". It matches the Rfam family "Bacterial small subunit ribosomal RNA", at positions 338 to 795 of the family's 1533-position model. The record is from RNAcentral.
CCUACGGGUGGCAGCAGUCGAGAAUCAUUCACAAUGGGGGAAACCCUGAUGGUGCGACGCCGCGUGGGGGAAUGAAGGUCUUCGGAUUGUAAACCCCUGUCAUGUGGGAGCAAAUUAAAAAGAUAGUACCACAAGAGGAAGAGACGGCUAACUCUGUGCCAGCAGCCGCGGUAAUACAGAGGUCUCAAGCGUUGUUCGGAAUCACUGGGCGUAAAGCGUGCGUAGGCUGUUUCGUAAGUCGUGUGUGAAAGGCGCGGGCUCAACCCGCGGACGGCACAUGAUACUGCGAGACUAGAGUAAUGGAGGGGGAACCGGAAUUCUCGGUGUAGCAGUGAAAUGCGUAGAUAUCGAGAGGAACACUCGUGGCGAAGGCGGGUUCCUGGACAUUAACUGACGCUGAGGCACGAAGGCCAGGGGAGCGAGAGGGAUUAGAUACCCGUGUAGUC